RNAcentral lists this ribosomal RNA (490 nucleotides) under uncultured bacterium. RNAcentral describes it as "partial 16S ribosomal RNA". It matches the Rfam family "Bacterial small subunit ribosomal RNA", at positions 30 to 507 of the family's 1533-position model. The record is from RNAcentral.
AUUGAACGCUGGCGGCAGGCCUAACACAUGCAAGUCGAACGGUAACAGGAAGAAGCUUGCUUCUUUGCUGACGAGUGGCGGACGGGUGAGUAAUGUCUGGGAAACUGCCUGAUGGAGGGGGAUAACUACUGGAAACGGUAGCUAAUACCGCAUAACGUCGCAUGACCAAAGAGGGGGACCUUCGGGCCUCUUGCCAUCGGAUGUGCCCAGAUGGGAUUAGCUAGUAGGUGGGGUAACGGCUCACCUAGGCGACGAUCCCUAGCUGGUCUGAGAGGAUGACCAGCCACACUGGAACUGAGACACGGUCCAGACUCCUACGGGAGGCAGCAGUGGGGAAUAUUGCACAAUGGGCGCAAGCCUGAUGCAGCCAUGCCGCGUGUAUGAAGAAGGCCUUCGGGUUGUAAAGUACUUUCAGCGGGGAGGAAGGGAGUAAAGUUAAUACCUUUACUCAUUGACGUUACCCGCAGAAGAAGCACCGGCUAACUCCGUG